CCUACGGGUGGCAGCAGUGGGGAAUAUUGGACAAUGGGGGCAACCCUGAUCCAGCCAUGCCGCGUGUGUGAAGAAGGCCCUCGGGUUGUAAAGCACUUUCAGUGAGGAAGAACGCCUGGUGGUUAAUACCCAUCAGGAAAGACAUCACUCACAGAAGAAGCACCGGCUAACUCCGUGCCAGCAGCCGCGGUAAUACGGAGGGUGCGAGCGUUAAUCGGAAUUACUGGGCGUAAAGCGCGCGUAGGUGGCUUGAUAAGCCGGUUGUGAAAGCCCCGGGCUCAACCUGGGAACGGCAUCCGGAACUGUCAAGCUAGGGUGCAGGAGAGGAAGGUAGAAUUCCCGGUGUAGCGGUGAAAUGCGUAGAGAUCGGGAGGAAUACCAGUGGCGAAGGCGGCCUUCUGGACUGACACUGACACUGAGGUGCGAAAGUGUGGGUAGCAAACAGGAUUAGAUACCCUGGUAGUC
Molecule: ribosomal RNA, 465 nt
Filed under: Vreelandella stevensii
Lineage: Bacteria; Pseudomonadati; Pseudomonadota; Gammaproteobacteria; Oceanospirillales; Halomonadaceae
Description: partial 16S ribosomal RNA
Rfam family: Bacterial small subunit ribosomal RNA
Source: RNAcentral